RNAcentral lists this ribosomal RNA (468 nucleotides) under uncultured bacterium. RNAcentral describes it as "partial 16S ribosomal RNA". It matches the Rfam family "Bacterial small subunit ribosomal RNA", at positions 28 to 507 of the family's 1533-position model. The record is from RNAcentral.
GACGAACGCUGGCGGCGUGCUUAACACAUGCAAGUCGAACGGAAAGGCCCUGCUUUUGUGGGGUGCUCGAGUGGCGAACGGGUGAGUAACACGUGAGUAACCUGCCCUUGACUUUGGGAUAACUUCAGGAAACUGGGGCUAAUACCGGAUAGGAGCUCCUGCUGCAUGGUGGGGGUUGGAAAGUUUCGGCGGUUGGGGAUGGACUCGCGGCUUAUCAGCUUGUUGGUGGGGUAGUGGCUGACCAAGGCUUUGACGGGUAGCCGGCCUGGGAGGGUGACCGGCGACAUUGGGACUGAGAUACGGCCCAGACUCCUACGGGAGGCAGCAGUGGGGAAUAUUGCACAAUGGGGGGGAGCCUGAGGCAGCAACGCCGCGUGCGGGAUGACGGCCUUCGGGUUGUAAACCGCUUUCGCCUGUGACGAAGCGUGAGUGACGGUAAUGGGUAAAGAAGCACCGGCUAACUACGUG